This 292-nucleotide ribosomal RNA is filed under the name uncultured bacterium. RNAcentral's name for it is "partial 16S ribosomal RNA". The record is from RNAcentral.
GGACUACAGGGGUAUCUAAUCCCGUUCGCUCCCCUGGCUUUCGCAUCUGAGCGUCAGGUUCUUCCCAGGAUGUUGCCUUCGCCUUUGGUGUUCUUCCGGAUAUCUACGCAUUUCACCACUCCACCCGGAGUUCCACAUCCCUCUGAAGCCCUCAAGUCAUCCAGUAUCCAUAACACUUUCCCAGUUGAGCCGGGAACUGUCAUCAUAGACUUAAACGACCGCCUGCAUGCGCUUUACGCCCAGUAACUCCGGACAACGCUCGCCUCCUACGUAUUACCGCGGCUGCUGGCAC